This 18-nucleotide small nuclear RNA is filed under the name Arabidopsis thaliana (thale cress). RNAcentral describes it as "snRNA_06721". Lineage: Eukaryota; Viridiplantae; Streptophyta; Magnoliopsida; Brassicales; Brassicaceae. The record is from RNAcentral.
UAUACCCGGCCGUCGGGG